AGCCAUGCAGUAAGCACAAAGCGAGUUAUUCUUUUGCCUUUUACUAAAGAAUACCAUGUGCUCGUUGCAAAUAGUGGCAUAUACCUAUUUUUGGAGAGGUUCUUCUCAAUUGGGAUU
This is a small nuclear RNA of Camellia sinensis, 117 nucleotides long. RefSeq annotates it as U5 spliceosomal RNA. Lineage: Eukaryota; Viridiplantae; Streptophyta; Magnoliopsida; Ericales; Theaceae. The record is from RefSeq and is a predicted model, not a curated record.